This 300-nucleotide ribosomal RNA is filed under the name uncultured bacterium. RNAcentral's name for it is "bacterial SSU rRNA". It matches the Rfam family "Bacterial small subunit ribosomal RNA", at positions 78 to 388 of the family's 1533-position model. The record is from RNAcentral.
UUUAAAGGUGCUUAGUGGCGAACGGGUGAGUAACACGUGAGUUACCUGCCCCAAAGCGGGGGAUAGCCCGAAGAAAUUCGGAUUAAUACCCCAUGUGAUCGUAAGAUUAAAGGCGGCGUAAGCUGUCGCUUUGGGAUGGGCUCGCGGCCUAUCAGCUUGUUGGUGAGGUAAUGGCUCACCAAGGCGAUGACGGGUAGCUGAUCUGAGAGGAUGAUCAGUCACACUGGAACUGAGACACGGUCCAGACACCUACGGGUGGCAGCAGUCGAGAAUCAUUCGCAAAUGGGCGAAAGCCUGACG